GCAGACACAUUCCAGCCAAUCAGCAGCAGACCCUCCCUCCCAGACCCUCCCACCUCCUGGACAGCUCACUAAGAAUGCAGCUUCACAAUGAAUGUAAAAUGGAUGCUGUCCAGGAGGUGGGAGGGUCUCGGAGGGAGGGUCUGCUGCUGAUUGGCUGGAAUGUGUCUG
This is a non-coding RNA of Pelobates cultripes (western spadefoot toad), 168 nucleotides long. Lineage: Eukaryota; Metazoa; Chordata; Amphibia; Anura; Pelobatidae. The record is from the annotation of a GenBank genome assembly.